GCGUAAUAGCUCACUGGUCGAGUCGGCCUGCGCGGAAGAUGUAACGGGGCUAAACCAUGCACCGAAGCUGCGGCAGCGACACUAUGUGUUGUUGGGUAGGGGAGCGUUCUGUAAGCCUGCGAAGGUGUGCUGUGAGGCAUGCUGGAGGUAUCAGAAGUGCGAAUGCUGACAUAAGUAACGAUAAAGCGGGUGAAAAGCCCGCUCGCCGGAAGACCAAGGGUUCCUGUCCAACGUUAAUCGGGGCAGGGUGAGUCGACCCCUAAGGCGAGGCCGAAAGGCGUAGUCGAUGGGAAACAGGUUAAUAUUCCUGUACUUGGUGUUACUGCGAAGGGGGGACGGAGAAGGCUAUGUUAGCCGGGCGACGGUUGUCCCGGUUUAAGCAUGUAGGCUGGUUAUCCAGGCAAAUCCGGAUAAUCAAGGCUGAGGUGUGAUGACGAGGCACUACGGUGCUGAAGUAACAAAUGCCCUGCUUCCAGGAAAAGCCUCUAAGCAUCAGGUAACAUCAAAUCGUACCCCAAACCGACACAGGUGGUCAGGUAGAGAAUACCAAGGCGCUUGAGAGAACUCGGGUGAAGGAACUAGGCAAAAUGGUGCCGUAACUUCGGGAGAAGGCACGCUGGUGUGUAGGUGA
Molecule: ribosomal RNA, 631 nt
Filed under: Klebsiella pneumoniae
Lineage: Bacteria; Pseudomonadati; Pseudomonadota; Gammaproteobacteria; Enterobacterales; Enterobacteriaceae
Description: bacterial LSU rRNA
Rfam family: Bacterial large subunit ribosomal RNA
Source: RNAcentral